Molecule: ribosomal RNA, 1764 nt
Filed under: Pseudoalteromonas rubra
Lineage: Bacteria; Pseudomonadati; Pseudomonadota; Gammaproteobacteria; Alteromonadales; Pseudoalteromonadaceae
Description: bacterial LSU rRNA
Rfam family: Bacterial large subunit ribosomal RNA
Source: RNAcentral
ACCGAAGCUACGGCUGCAUACUUUGUAUGCGGGGUAGGGGAGCGUUCUGUAAGCGGCUGAAGGUGAACUGUAAGGUUUGCUGGACGUAUCAGAAGUGCGAAUGCUGACAUGAGUAACGAUAAUGCGGGUGAAAAACCCGCACGCCGGAAGACCAAGGGUUCCUAUCCCAUGUUAAUCAGGGUAGGGUGAGUCGACCCCUAAGGCGAGGCUGAAGAGCGUAGUCGAUGGGAAACGGGUUAAUAUUCCCGUACUUGGUAUAAAUGCGAUGGGGGACGGAGCAGGCUAGGCAAGCAUGGCGUUGGUUGUCCAUGUGAAAGGCUGUAGGCUGGUGACUUAGGAAAAUCCGGGUCGCUAAGGCUGAGAGUCGAGACGAGCUACUACGGUAGUGAAGUUGUUGAUGCCCUACUUCCAGGAAAAGCCUCUAAGCUUCAGUUUAUAUCGAAUCGUACCCUAAACCGACACAGGUGGUCAGGUAGAGAAUACUAAGGCGCUUGAGAGAACUCGGGUGAAGGAACUAGGCAAAAUUGUACCGUAACUUCGGGAGAAGGUACGCUCUUACUUGUGAAGACUUCGCGUCGUAAGCAGGUGAGAGCCGCAGUGACCAGGUGGCUGGGACUGUUUAUUAAAAACACAGCACUGUGCAAAAUCGUAAGAUGACGUAUACGGUGUGACACCUGCCCGGUGCCGGAAGGUUAAUUGAUGGGGUUAGCUUAGGCGAAGCUCUUGAUCGAAGCCCCGGUAAACGGCGGCCGUAACUAUAACGGUCCUAAGGUAGCGAAAUUCCUUGUCGGGUAAGUUCCGACCUGCACGAAUGGUGUAACCAUGGCCACGCUGUCUCCACCCGAGACUCAGUGAAAUUGAAAUCGCAGUGAAGAUGCUGUGUACCCGCGGCUAGACGGAAAGACCCCGUGAACCUUUACUACAGCUUGGCACUGAACAUUGACCCUACAUGUGUAGGAUAGGUGGGAGGCUUUGAAGCGCAGUCGCUAGAUUGCGUGGAGCCGUCCUUGAAAUACCACCCUUGUAGUGUUGAUGUUCUAACUUAGGCCCCUAAUCGGGGUUGAGGACAGUGCCUGGUGGGUAGUUUGACUGGGGCGGUCUCCUCCCAAAGAGUAACGGAGGAGCACGAAGGUUGGCUAAGUACGGUCGGACAUCGUACGGUUAGUGUAAUGGUAGAAGCCAGCUUAACUGCGAGACAGACACGUCGAGCAGGUACGAAAGUAGGUCAUAGUGAUCCGGUGGUUCUGAAUGGAAGGGCCAUCGCUCAACGGAUAAAAGGUACUCCGGGGAUAACAGGCUGAUACCGCCCAAGAGUUCAUAUCGACGGCGGUGUUUGGCACCUCGAUGUCGGCUCAUCACAUCCUGGGGCUGAAGUCGGUCCCAAGGGUAUGGCUGUUCGCCAUUUAAAGUGGUACGCGAGCUGGGUUUAGAACGUCGUGAGACAGUUCGGUCCCUAUCUGCCGUGGGCGUUUGAGAAUUGAGAGGGGCUGCUCCUAGUACGAGAGGACCGGAGUGGACGAACCGCUGGUGUUCGGGUUGUCAUGCCAAUGGCAUUGCCCGGUAGCUACGUUCGGAAUCGAUAACCGCUGAAAGCAUCUAAGCGGGAAGCGAGCCUCGAGAUGAGUUCUCACUUUAACUUUAAGUUAACUGAAGGGCCGUUGAAGACUACAACGUUGAUAGGCGAGAUGUGGAAGUGGUGUGAGCCAUUGAGCUAACUCGUACUAAUUACCCGUGAGGCUUAACCAUACAACGCCAAAGUGGUUU